GACGAACGCUGGCGGCGUGCUUAACACAUGCAAGUGGAGCGACGAACCAGGGCUUGCCCUGGGGCAGAGCCGCGAACGGGUGAGUAACACGUGGGUUACCUGCCCCGAUGAUUGGGACAACCCGAGGAAACUCGGGCUAAUACCAAAUGUGCUCCUGGCCAUAAUGGCCUUGAGGAAAGGAAGCUUCGGCCUCCGCAUCGGGAUGGGCCCGCGGCCCAUUAGCUAGUUGGUGGGGUAACGGCCACCAAGGCGACGAUGGGUAGCUGGUCUGAGAGGACGAUCAGCCACACUGGGACUGAGACACGGCCCAGACUCCUACGGGAGGCAGCAGUGGGGAAUCUUGCGCAAUGCGCGAAAGCGUGACGCAGCAACGCCGCGUGGGG
This 383-nucleotide ribosomal RNA is filed under the name uncultured bacterium. Its description in RNAcentral is "bacterial SSU rRNA". It matches the Rfam family "Bacterial small subunit ribosomal RNA", at positions 28 to 406 of the family's 1533-position model. The record is from RNAcentral.